Long non-coding RNA from Cyprinus carpio (common carp), 1033 nucleotides. The record is from Ensembl. Lineage: Eukaryota; Metazoa; Chordata; Actinopteri; Cypriniformes; Cyprinidae.
GUCGCUUUUUUCGGAACUCGUUCAAGUUAGUCCCAAAGUUAGUUUGAAGUAGUUGAAAGUCCAUUGUAAAGAGGUGUCAUGGAUGCACAGAAACUAAUUAAACCGGCCAAAUUCAUAAAGGGCUCCAAAGAAAAGAAUAUUCCGCGGGAAGUCGGUGGGAAAGGUGACUCUUGUGUUACGGAGCACGACUAUGCUAUGGACACCGCUCAGCUAAACAAGAGGGACCGUACUAUCGACUCCUUACCAACUACGCCAGUCAAAAAUCCUGCAGAGAAAAAGCCCAAACCAGCUGAUGAUGGUGAGGAUAGUGAAGUUUCCAACAACGCCAUUUUACAGGCAAUUUUGGGUCUUGAAAAAAGAGUGGAUGUGCAACUAGCUGAUCUGAAGGAGCAGACAAAACAAAGUAGCGUCAUGAUUGCUAGUUUAGCCAAAGCUGUUCAGUUCAACGCGGAGGAAAUGAAAGAAUGCAAAAAGAAAGUUGAAGAUUUGAAGAAACAAAACGACCAGCUUUGCAAGGAUAACGACGAUCUUAAAAAUAGAGUGAGAGAGCAAGAGAGAUACAGGAUGAGGUGGUGUCUGCAGAUUAAAGGUUUGGAAGAAAAAAGAGAUGAGAACAUUCGAGAACAAGUCACCGAAAUCCUCCGGAAAAUCGCACCAGAUCUUGAGUCGAAGGUGGAGGAUGCAGUUGACGUCGUUCAUAGAACAGGGAGAAAGAUGGAUAACAAGAUCAGACACGUUGUCAUUCUAUUUGCAAAGAGAUGGGGGAAGGAAGAAAUCUGGCGUCGGACCAAGAACUCGCAGGUCUGCAAGGAUAAAGGCAUCCGCUUUGCUGAAAUGUUGCCGCGGGAGGAUUGGGAGGAGAGAAGACGCUUGUGGCCGCAAAUUGAACAAGCGAGGCGAGCUGGAAAACUGGCUUUUUUUCGGGGUCCACAUGGAUACAUAGACGGACGUCGGAUUGGAGAUGAAGGGUGAAGUAAUUAAAUAUGACUGUGAUAUAAUGGAAACACUUGUAAAGGGACAUUAUAACUCUAUU